Molecule: long non-coding RNA, 1737 nt
Filed under: Populus trichocarpa (black cottonwood)
Lineage: Eukaryota; Viridiplantae; Streptophyta; Magnoliopsida; Malpighiales; Salicaceae
Description: long non-coding RNA (PTRI_LNC000561)
Source: RNAcentral
UCCCGAUCGGUUUUUCAUUUCCCUAUAUUUGCAAACAAUUGUUGAUUAUUUUUUAAAUUUAUGUGCUAAAUAUCCACUUUUUAAUUAAUCAAAUCAAAAUCUUUUUUACAUGACCUAAACUGCAUGUUCAGUUUACAUGCACCAUAACUAAUUUUCAAAUCAAUACUCUACAAACUUACUAGACAGAUGAUAGGUAUACACACAAAGAUUAAAUCUAAAAUGCAAAGACAGAAAAUUACCUAUCAGGACCGCUGGGACACCAACCUGAUGCAAAUUAAAUCAUUUUUAUUGACACGAGAGGAUUCACCGGCAAUGAUUUCAAUGUUAGGCGUUAGCUAUCUGAACUAAUAUUUUAUUUUUCUGGCCACAGUACGGGGUUUUAUUCAGUAUUUUUCUUUUCUUUUCUAUCAUUUUUCUAAAUGAAAACAAAUCUCAUCAAUCAAACCAAAAAAAAAAAGGUUACACUAUUAUUUUAAUAUAUUUAUAACAAAAAUCAUUUUAAAAAUUAAACUUUACCACAAUUUCAAACACGGUAAUCUUAUAAACAUUAUCUUUUGACAUAAACCUGUCUAAUAUGUACACGUACUUAAUCUCAUCCCAUCUCCUCCCAGAACAGAUCAUCUCUAUGUAGAUUCUUCAUCUCUGCUCUGAGAAACAUCCAAAGACACAGACAGGAUUAGAAACAUGGUAAAAGGAGGAGAAAAACAGGUUGGAGUUCCUGUAAUAAUAGCGAUGAAAGGGCAUCCUGGCACAGGCAAGAGUACUUUAGCCAGCUCUUUAGCUUCAUCUCUCAAAAUCCCUCUCAUCGACAAAGAUGAUGUCCGUGACUGCACCGUAUCCAUCCAAAACUCCUCACCCGCUACAGCAUCCAAACUCCUCAACGAUCUCUCUUACGACGUUGUCUGGCAGAUCGCCUCCACUCAGCUACGUUUAGGUCUCAGCGUCAUCAUCGACUCUCCACUCUCUCGGAGGGCCCAUCUCGAUAGACUUGUCCAGGUGGCUUCCUCUACCGGGUCCCUCCUCGUGAUUGUCGAGUGUAAGCCGUUGGAUGAGGGUGUUUGGCGGAGAAGGCUAGAGCAACGUGGCAAGGGUGAUCAGGCUAGCUGGCAUAAGCCUUCAACGUGGCAGGAUCUUGAGAGGCUACUUGAAGGGUACGGUGGGUCCACUGACUAUGAUGUUGGCGAUGUACCGAAGAUAGUCCUGGAUACUUCUGUUGCGGUAGCGGUGGAUGAGCUUGUUUCUAGGGUGGUGGAUUUCGUUGUUUCUUCUGCUUGUACAGGUUAUCACAACUAGAAUUAAUUACCCUUAAUAUUAUAUGUAUAAUAUUCAAACUAUCAUAUGUAUAUAACUUUGUAGAUGAGUCUAGAAUGGUCGAUCUUGCUUCUUAAAUUAUCACCUGUGAGGUCAGAAGAUUACUAGUUGUUGGAUAAACAAUAAAAUGUGAUGAGAACAUGGCAUAUAGCUGCCAAAAAUAUGUUUACAAAAAUAUAGCACGCACCAGUUAGCUUGCCCUUUUCGAGAAUCUAGAACACAGCGUAUGAGGCCCUCCGAGGUUACGAAAGAACAGCCGAGGCAAAAACAAAAUCCAAGCUUAUGUUUGUUUCUCGAGAUACUAUGUGAUGUAUAUAACAAUACUAACUCUAACGGGUGGUCAUAGAUAUAACAAAAAAUACAUUACACUUCGGCGUCAUUAGCGGCGCCUCUCGGGCAAAAAAAAUUUUAUGUCGUGUUGUUCGG